Molecule: ribosomal RNA, 489 nt
Filed under: uncultured bacterium
Lineage: Bacteria
Description: bacterial SSU rRNA
Rfam family: Bacterial small subunit ribosomal RNA
Source: RNAcentral
GAUGAACGCUGGCGGCGUGCUUAAUACAUGCAAGUCGAACGAAGGUUGUAGCAAUACAUCCUUAGUGGCGAACGGGUGAGUAACGCGUUGGUGACCUGCCCCGAAGUGCGGGAUAACAGUCCGAAAGGAUUGCUAAUACCGCAUGGUUUCAUUUGGAUUAGAUGCCAGAUGAGCAAAGGCGAAAGUCGCUUCGGGAGGGGCUUGCGUCCCAUCAGCUAGUUGGUAGGGUAAUGGCCUACCAAGGCAAUGACGGGUAGGGGACCUGAGAGGGUGGCCCCCCACAAUGGAACUGAAACACGGUCCAUACACCUACGGGUGGCAGCAGUGGGGAAUAUUGCACAAUGGGGAAACCCUGAUGCAGCAACGCCGCGUGAGUGAUGACGGCCUCGGUUGUAAGACUCUGUCUUCUAGGACGAGUAAUAGACGGUACCGUGAGGAGGAAGCACGGCUAACUACGUAGCCAGCAGCCGCGGUAACGUACGUCUACUG